RNAcentral lists this ribosomal RNA (254 nucleotides) under uncultured bacterium. RNAcentral's name for it is "partial 16S ribosomal RNA". It matches the Rfam family "Bacterial small subunit ribosomal RNA", at positions 524 to 776 of the family's 1533-position model. The record is from RNAcentral.
AACGUAGGUGGCAAGCGUUAAUCGGAAUUACUGGGCGUAAAGCGUGCGCAGGCGGUCUGUUAAGACCGAUGUGAAAUCCCCGGGCUUAACCUGGGAACUGCAUUGGUGACUGGCAGGCUUUGAGUGUGGCAGAGGGAGGUAGAAUUCCACGUGUAGCAGUGAAAUGCGUAGAGAUGUGGAGGAAUACCGAUGGCGAAGGCAGCCUCCUGGGCCAACACUGACGCUCAUGCACGAAAGCGUGGGUAGCGAAUGGG